CCUACGGGAGGCAGCAGUGGGGAAUAUUGCGCAAUGGGCGAAAGCCUGACGCAGCGACGCCGCGUGAGGGAUGAAGGUCUUCGGAUCGUAAACCUCUGUCAGCAGGGAAGAACGGUCACUGUGCUAAUCAGCAGUGAAUUGACGGUACCUGCAAAGGAAGCACCGGCUACCUCCGUGCCAGCCGCCGCGGUAAUACGGAGGGUGCGGGCGUUAAUCGGAAUUACUGGGCGUAAAGCGCUCGUAGGCGGUAUGUCAAGUCAAUGGUGAAAUCCCCGCGCUCAACGUGGGAACUGCCUUUGAAACUGGCAAACUGGAGUGUGUGAGAGGAUAGUGGAAUUCCAGGUGUAGGAGUGAAAUCCGUAGAUAUCUGGAGGAACAUCAGUGGCGAAGGCGACUAUCUGGCACAUAACUGACGCUGAGGAGCGAAAGCGUGGGUAGCAAACAGGAUUAGAUACCCCUGUAGUC
Molecule: ribosomal RNA, 465 nt
Filed under: uncultured bacterium
Lineage: Bacteria
Description: partial 16S ribosomal RNA
Rfam family: Bacterial small subunit ribosomal RNA
Source: RNAcentral